This 470-nucleotide ribosomal RNA is filed under the name uncultured bacterium. RNAcentral's name for it is "bacterial SSU rRNA". It matches the Rfam family "Bacterial small subunit ribosomal RNA", at positions 29 to 526 of the family's 1533-position model. The record is from RNAcentral.
AACGAACGCUGACGGCGUGGAUAAGACAUGCAAGUCGAACGGAGGAUGUGUAGCUUGCUAUAACAUCCUUAGUGGCGCGCGGGUGAGUAACGCGUGAGCAACCUGCCCAUAAGUUGGGGAUAGCCCUGGGAAACCGGGAUUAAUACCGAAUGUGGUAGCAAUACUAAAGCAGUAAUGCGCUCAUGGAGGGGCUCGCGUCCUAUUAGUUAGUUGGUGAGGUAACGGCUCACCAAGGCGAUGACGGGUAGCCGGCCUGAGAGGUUGAACGGCCACAUUGGGACUGAGACACGGCACAGACUCCUACAGGAGGCAGCAGUGGGGGAUAUUGCACAAUGGGGGAAACCCUGAUGCAGCGACGCCGCGUGGGUGAAGACGGCCUUCGGGUUGUAAAGCCCUGUUGACGGGGACGAUAAUGACGGUACCCGUUCAGAAAGCCACGGCUAACUACGUGCCAGCCGCCGCAGUAAGAC